UACGUAGGGUGCAAGCGUUAAUCGGAAUUACUGGGCGUAAAGCGUGCGCAGGCGGCUUUGCAAGACAGAUGUGAAAUCCCCGGGCUUAACCUGGGAACUGCAUUUGUGACUGCAUGGCUGGAGUGCGGCAGAGGGGGAUGGAAUUCCGCGUGUAGCAGUGAAAUGCGUAGAUAUGCGGAGGAACACCGGUGGCGAAGGCGGCAUCCUGGACCAACACUGACGCUGAGGUGCGAAAGCCAGGGGAGCAAACGGG
Molecule: ribosomal RNA, 253 nt
Filed under: uncultured bacterium
Lineage: Bacteria
Description: partial 16S ribosomal RNA
Rfam family: Bacterial small subunit ribosomal RNA
Source: RNAcentral